GUCGUGCCUGCGAAGAUAAGUCGAAUCCAACUUUGUGCUUUUUAUGGUUGGUGGUUCUCAAUCUCCUAUGGUCGUCUCCAUUUCGAUUCCAUGGAUAGACCCGCUCUCGCGAAACCCGGAGCCCGGAGGGCUGUCGACGUCGCCGUCGGCUGCCUCCACGGCUCUGGAGCUCAACGAGGAGAUGGGGGAGAAGAACCCUCGACCCCUCUCGAUCACGGUGAUAUCGCCAUGAAAACAUAUGGUCAUGCCUCAGAGACCCUACUUUGGAUGUUUGCACAUUCAUAGCUGAGAAGAAUGGUAUGACCUUCCAGCUGGAUUCCUUCUUAUUUGGUGAGAGGAGAUCACCUUUUUCGGCUACGUUGAUGGGGCCCUAAAGCAUUGGUUUUGCAGAGAUCUUUUUGCCUAGGCACACAUGCAGAACUGGUUGCUUUUGAACACAUUUAAGAAUGAAAGUCUAACUAAAAUUAAGGUAAUGGAGGGUUGGCAUUUCUUCAUAAUGCUUAUAUAAGUUAUAUGUUCUUUCAGCAAUAAACCAAGUACAUUCUGUCCAGGCUUUGUGCAGUCAUGAGAAAAUUAUUGUAUGAGCCUUAGAGUCUGACAUUAAGUUAAUGGAAGGUUAGCACUUCUUCAUUUUGCUUAUAUAUAAAAAUCUGUUGACAA
Phoenix dactylifera (date palm) is the source of this 660-nucleotide long non-coding RNA. RefSeq lists it as uncharacterized. Lineage: Eukaryota; Viridiplantae; Streptophyta; Magnoliopsida; Arecales; Arecaceae. The record is from RefSeq and is a predicted model, not a curated record.